CAGAUGGUUUCGAACCUCCCACCGGUGCAGAAGUUGAUGGUUCCUGAUGCAGCCUCAGUGUCAGGAAACAUUUUAACUCCUGGAGGAGAAGGACGAGAUGUGGACAUGACCCCAAAAGAAACGCCCACAAGCAAAUCACCUCACCUCCCAAUGGCAGACCCAAGUCCAUCUCAUAGCCCAAUUAGCUCCAGUGACUCUCCUCUGUCCAGCACAAAUGCAGCGAGCAGCGGUGGCAAGCCAGCCGACAAGAGCGAAGAACCUUUUAAAGAGGUCCUAAUGAACAACUGUGACUAUG
Long non-coding RNA from Pleuronectes platessa (European plaice), 295 nucleotides. RefSeq lists it as uncharacterized. Lineage: Eukaryota; Metazoa; Chordata; Actinopteri; Pleuronectiformes; Pleuronectidae. The record is from RefSeq and is a predicted model, not a curated record. The transcript is spliced from 3 exons.